UACGUAGGGACCAAGCGUUGUUCGGAUUUACUGGGCGUAAAGGGCGCGUAGGCGGCGUGGUAAGUCACUUGUGAAAUCUCCGGGCUUAACCCGGAAAGGUCAACCGAUACUGCGGGGCUAGAGUGCAGAAGGGGCAACUGGAAUUCUCGGUGUAGCGGUGAAAUGCGUAGAUAUCGAGAGGAACACCUGCGGUGAAGACGGGUUGCUGGGCUGACACUGACGCUGAGGCGCGAAAGCCAGGGGAGCAAACGGG
Molecule: ribosomal RNA, 253 nt
Filed under: uncultured bacterium
Lineage: Bacteria
Description: partial 16S ribosomal RNA
Rfam family: Bacterial small subunit ribosomal RNA
Source: RNAcentral